RNAcentral lists this ribosomal RNA (434 nucleotides) under uncultured bacterium. RNAcentral's name for it is "partial 16S ribosomal RNA". It matches the Rfam family "Bacterial small subunit ribosomal RNA", at positions 27 to 507 of the family's 1533-position model. The record is from RNAcentral.
GAACGAACGCUGGCGGCAUGCCUAACCCAUGCAAGUCGAACGAGACCUUCGGGUCUAGUGGCGCAUGGGUGCGUAACGCGUGGGAACCUGCCCUUAGGUUCGGAAUAACUCCCCGAAAGGGGUGCUAAUACCGGAUAAUGUCUUCGGACCAAAGAUUUAUCGCCUUUGGAUGGGCCCGCGUUGGAUUAGCUAGUUGGUAGGGUAAAAGCCUACCAAGGCGACGAUCCAUAGCUGGUCUGAGAGGAUGAUCAGCCACACUGGGACUGAGACACGGCCCAGACUCCUACGGGAGGCAGCAGUGGGGAAUAUUGGACAAUGGGCGAAAGCCUGAUCCAGCAAUGCCGCGUGAGUGAUGAAGGCCUUAGGGUUGUAAAGCUCUUUUACCCGGGAUGAUAAUGACAGUACCGGGAGAAUAAGCUCCGGCUAACUCCGUG